GAUGAACGCUGGCGGCGUGCCUAAUACAUGCAGGUCGAGCGAACAGACGAGGAGCUUGCUCCUCUGACGUUAGCGGCGGACGGGUGAGUAACACGUGGAUAACCUACCUAUAAGACUGGGAUAACUUCGGGAAACCGGAGCUAAUACCGGAUAAUAUAUUGAACCGCAUGGUUCAAUAGUGAAAGACGGUUUUGCUGUCACUUAUAGAUGGAUCCGCGCCGCAUUAGCUAGUUGGUAAGGUAACGGCUUACCAAGGCAACGAUGCGUAGCCGACCUGAGAGGGUGAUCGGCCACACUGGAACUGGGACGCGGUCCAGACUCCUACGGGAGGCAGCAGUAGGGAAUCUUCCGCAAUGGGCGAAAGCCUGACGGAGCAGCGCCGCGUGAGUGGUGAAAGUCUUCGGAUCGUAAAACUCUGUUAUUAGGGAAGAACAAAUGUGUAAGUAACUAUGCACGUCUUGACGGUACCUAAUCAGAAAGCCACGGCUAACUACGUG
This 497-nucleotide ribosomal RNA is filed under the name uncultured bacterium. RNAcentral describes it as "partial 16S ribosomal RNA". It matches the Rfam family "Bacterial small subunit ribosomal RNA", at positions 28 to 507 of the family's 1533-position model. The record is from RNAcentral.